Molecule: long non-coding RNA, 258 nt
Filed under: Lathyrus oleraceus (garden pea)
Lineage: Eukaryota; Viridiplantae; Streptophyta; Magnoliopsida; Fabales; Fabaceae
Description: Pisum sativum (pea) long non-coding RNA (PSAT_LNC034459)
Source: RNAcentral
UGGAGGGAAAAGGAAAAUAAGCGAAGCAUUUGAAAAUAUGGCACGGCCAGGAAUCGAAGUCAGGAAAAAUUUGAAUAUGCGCGCCUACAGCCAAACGACACCGUUUGACCAUACAAACCCUAAGCGCGCGCUGCAUGGCUUUCAAAAAAUUCGUAGGUAAUCAUGAUGAAUUCGUAACAAAAUCCGCAACAAAGCCUAUGCGUUUCCUAGCAAAAUUCGCAGGAAACCUGGAAACGCUAUGAACAUGAUGAAGAUCAU